GACGGAGGAUGCAAGUGUUAUCCGGAAUCACUGGGCGUAAAGCGUCUGUAGGUGGUUUAAUAAGUCAACUGUUAAAUCUCGAGGCUCAACCUCAAAAUCGCAGUCGAAACUAUUAGGCUAGAGUAUAGUAGGGGUAAAGGGAAUUUCCAGUGGAGCGGUGAAAUGCGUAGAGAUUGGAAAGAACACCGAUGGCGAAGGCACUUUACUGGGCUAUUACUAACACUCAGAGACGGAAAAGCUAAGGGUAGCAAAUGGG
This 256-nucleotide ribosomal RNA is filed under the name uncultured bacterium. RNAcentral's name for it is "partial 16S ribosomal RNA". It matches the Rfam family "Bacterial small subunit ribosomal RNA", at positions 524 to 776 of the family's 1533-position model. The record is from RNAcentral.